GCACAGUGGCCUACUGGUUAGCGCUUCGGACUUGUAACCGGAGGGUUGCCGGUUCAAACCCGGACCAGUAGGCA
This 74-nucleotide transfer RNA is filed under the name Alosa alosa (allis shad). RNAcentral's name for it is "tRNA-OTHER". The record is from RNAcentral. Lineage: Eukaryota; Metazoa; Chordata; Actinopteri; Clupeiformes; Clupeidae.